Cucumis sativus (cucumber) is the source of this 527-nucleotide long non-coding RNA. RefSeq lists it as uncharacterized. The record is from RefSeq and is a predicted model, not a curated record. Lineage: Eukaryota; Viridiplantae; Streptophyta; Magnoliopsida; Cucurbitales; Cucurbitaceae. The transcript is spliced from 2 exons.
CCUUCUCUCAUCUUCUUCGUCUUCCUCAAAAUCGCCGAUUCACGGCCAUCUUCUUCUCCUACCCCUAACAGCGCCGGAUUUCUCAACUGUCGAUCGAGUGACAAUCGUGCCUGCCUGCUUGACAAAGCCUUUUCGGUCUACCAAUAAAGGAAAAACGAUUGCUGGUGACACGAAAGCUGUGCUCAACGCUCUUUUUCCUAUUCCACUGCACGUCGUGGUCUUUCCCUUGCUGGUUGGAUGACUACUAUGGACGAAGAGCACAACUACUUCCAGUCUCUGGUCGAUAAGUACCCAAGGAAGAGUUGCAGUGGGUAAAUCUUAAUGGCUGGCAGAAAAUUGGUUCGGGAUAUAUUACUCUCAAGACAAAGUAUUUUCUAUCAGUUUACUUCCCAUGGGGUAUUUGCUCUUCCUAUGCUUUAUCCUUAUCGCAUCUUUCUCCGCUGUAGUCUUCAUAGGAUGGAUUUCUGUGGUGUAAAUUUAUUCAUCUAGUUUGUUUGAUUUAUGGUUGCAUUUAGGGAGAAGGUAAA